This 554-nucleotide long non-coding RNA is filed under the name Erythranthe guttata (spotted monkey flower). Its description in RNAcentral is "long non-coding RNA (EGUT_LNC001519)". The record is from RNAcentral. Lineage: Eukaryota; Viridiplantae; Streptophyta; Magnoliopsida; Lamiales; Phrymaceae.
UUUAUAUAAAUAUAAACUCAAUUGAAGUUAAAUGUAAAUUUACAAAUGUUUGGGUCAAAUUGCAAAUUAUGUAAACUUCUUGAAGCCCUAGUCUUUUCUUGAUUUCCUCCCAACAACGGCACGCCAGCUUCUUCUCUGAGUUCGUCGGAACAUACACGUCAAAAUUUUCCGGCAACCGAGUCGAACCCGCUUCGAUUGCUGCCCCAUCACUGUGUUCCGGCGAACUGUUAUUUAACUUCCCCCACCAAUUUCGUCCAUGGUAGAUGGCGGAGAUGGUGCCCACCGAUUUCGUCCAUGGUAGAUGGCGGAGAUGGUACCCGUAGCACCGUAGUAGGCUGCCGAUUUGGGGAGAUUUUUGCUAGAAUUUGGGAUUGGUUCUGAUGUGGAUGUCAAGAGGACAUCUCCGAAGGAUUUUGAAAGAUUGGAAAUCGGAGAAUGGAUUUGCAGUCGCCGGAGCCGCCGACGCCGGAGGUAAUCGAUCAGAUCCAGUUCACGGAUGGAAGAUGUAUUACGUAAUCAAUUCUUGGUCGGCAAAGAGAGGCGGCAGAAAUGGU